This 249-nucleotide ribosomal RNA is filed under the name uncultured bacterium. RNAcentral's name for it is "partial 16S ribosomal RNA". It matches the Rfam family "Bacterial small subunit ribosomal RNA", at positions 57 to 305 of the family's 1533-position model. The record is from RNAcentral.
GCAAGUCGAACGGUAACAUGAGGAGCUUGUCUCUUGAUGACGAGUGGCGGACGGGUGAGUAAUACAUAGGAAUCUAUCCAGUAGUGGGGAUAACGUGUGGAAACGCACGCUAAUACCGAAUACGCACUACGGUGGAAAGAGGGGGAUCUUCGGACCUCUCGCUAUCGGGUGAGCCUAUGCCGGAUUAGCUAGUUGGUGGGGUAAUGGCCUACCAAGGCGACGAUCCGUAGCUGGUCUGAGAGGACGAUC